RNAcentral lists this non-coding RNA (107 nucleotides) under Rhodanobacter spathiphylli. Its description in RNAcentral is "Rhodanobacter sp. Glycine sequence". It matches the Rfam family "Glycine riboswitch aptamer". Rfam says of the family: This family represents the bacterial glycine riboswitch. The record is from RNAcentral. Lineage: Bacteria; Pseudomonadati; Pseudomonadota; Gammaproteobacteria; Lysobacterales; Rhodanobacteraceae.
CGCAAACACUCUGGAGAGACCGGUUGAAUCCGGCGCCGAAGGGGCACCAGGUGCGGCAGUGAAUCGCCCGCCUCCAAACUCUCAGGCAAAAGGACAGAGGGGCGCCC